GCCCCCAGCCCUUCCAGGCGGCCGAGAACGCGCCUGCCCUGCCCGCCCCUUUCAGGGCCGCGGGAGCGCGCCUGUCGCGCCCCUGUCCCACCCCACGCCCUUCAGGGAGGGCCUGCAGCCCGCGCCCACAAGCCCGGCGCCUCAGGGCCGCACGAGCGGCUCCAGCGUUUCAAUUCUGCCGCCAUCUUUUGGGCAGCCAACUUCCCAGCCUGCCUCACGCUCAAGCAGAUUAGGCUCAGGCCGCCAAGAAACGGUGGGCGGGGCCGGCGGGAGGGGCGGGGCCUGUGGGAAGAAAAGCACCAAAAUCAUUUACGACAUCUGCUCCUCGCGACUAGAAGCAAGCCGCUACUAAAAUGUCUUCUUGACUGCAGUACCCGCUUCACUGAAAUCAAAACAACCCGAGGGCGCAGCUAACCCGCCCCCGGCCCCGCCCCGGCGCCCUCGUGACGUCAUCCCCCAGGGCCGCUCGGCGCCGCCGAUCACUUGGAGCCACGUGCGGCCGCCGGCGGGCUGCGUAGUGACGCAGGCGCGAGACUGUGCGGUGGCAGCCAUGGCGGACGGUUGAGAUGAGGCUGCUCCUGGGUCUCGCGGCUAUCCAAGACCAUUGAGGGUCCCCGGCGGCGCCUGCCGUCUGCUGAGGCUGGGUGGACUCCUCUGCGGCAGAUCUCCUGUAAGAUGUGCUGGUUAAGGCUUCUGGCAGAUUCGGGUCAGUCCCAAGUGCGACCGGUCUUCUGGGGCUGCCGUCCGCAGACCCUUCUCGCAUCCACGUACCUGGCGGCCUCCCUCAUCGCGUGCUGUUGGUAGGGGGGCGAGUCAGGCCCUGUACACGUCCUGACAGGCACCCGGCCCACCCCCAGCCAACUGUGCGCUGUGUUCCUGCCCCAGCACGAGACCUGUGGGGUGUCCGCGGCAGAAGAUGUCAGAGCUGGAAGAGACCUGAGAGGCGAUCCCUUGGUGGGUGAUGGGUUCUUCCGGGAAUCUGGUGGUUUGCGCGCCUUGUCGUCUGCUUCCAGAACAAGGAUCUUCGCUGUACGCCAAGACCCAGACCCCUCUGACAUCGGAAUGACAAGUGGGAUAUUUAAUAAAACAGUUUCAAAUUUGGAGUCAGUCCAGCCUCUGUUGUUUUCUCUUUUCUGUGUUAGCUGCAAAGGGGAAGAAGACCCCGCCCUUGAAGGAGUUUCAGCCAAGUGUGAGGCAUCCCUAGGGUGUCUCCCAUUUUGUUGCUUGUGUCUUUGUAAAGUGCCCAGUGGGUGAUAGAGCAUCAGGAUCUGUACCUUGGGAUCCCAGAGUGGGUUCCGGUGGUUUGACGGGGUCUCCGCCCCGUCCUCUUCAGUGUGGGUCACACUGGGUCACACACUAGAGUAUCCAGACCUCCGCCUGUGGGUUGAUGCCUUAAGAAUGCAUGACCCUCGUGGUCUAUUUUAUUAGACACUUGGAUAAUGCACCGAUGGGUUACACCCACAACUGGAGCCCGCACGUAUCAGUCUUGGUGACCUUUUUGAAGGAGCGUCCGCAGGCCAGGCUGAGGCUGACUCGAGCCAGAAAAGACAGCCCGUUGGUGUUCAGGCUGUGAGUGAUAGGAACGGAAAAGUCCCCAGAGGUCCCUGCACCCUGAGUCCCCGAAGCUACACCCUGAGGGGGCGGGAGGGGGGGGUAGAGCCUCACACCUCAGAACCACCGGAUGCCAGGGGAAACCCUCCUGACAGCCUCACGGGCAGAGGAGGAAGAGAGGUCACAGCUCCUCAUGCUAUCAGAGUGAGUUGUGGCCUUCAUGGGUACGUGCUGCUCCAGGCGACCUUGGCGGGACAUUUUCCUGCUCGCCCAGCAGUUGGUGUGCCCUGAGAUGAGAUGAGGUGAAUGUUUUAUUUAUUCAUUUAUUUUUUGGGGGGCUGCUCCUGCGGCAUAUGGAGGUUCCCAGGCUAGGGGUUGAAUCAGAGCCGUAGCCGCUGGCCUACGCCACAGCCGCAGCAACGCGGGAUCUGAGCCGCAUCUGCAACCUACACCACAGCCCACGGCAAUGCUGGAUCUUUAACCCACUGAGCAAGGGCAGGGAUCGAACCCGCAACCUCAUGGUUCCUAGUCUGAUUUGUUAACCACAGAGCCUCGAUGGGAACUCCAAGGUGAAUGUUUUAAGUCCCAGUGUGGGUCUGGUGAUUCAGGGGAGCUGAGAAUCAAAGGGACUAGGGACAUGGUGCAAAAGCCUGGGGGGCGGGGAGCAUCUUAAAAUUGACCUGGAUUAGGUGAUGAGAGAAACUGCUGUCCUGCCCUCCAUCCACCUGUUUACACCUGUCACUGUGCCCCAACUUGUCAGACCUGUCCCUGGGAAGUUUCAGUUAGGCCUCCACUUGCCCUGCCUGAGACAAGGCAGAGACAGUGGAACCAAAGGGGUCCAAGCCGGACCCAGGAAGGGAAAGGAUGCUGUCUGUGCCAUCAUCAGCCACAUGAAAUAAAUGAGCCAGUGGGUGGCCA
RNAcentral lists this long non-coding RNA (2469 nucleotides) under Sus scrofa (pig). Its description in RNAcentral is "lncRNA (ENSSSCG00025006936.1)". Lineage: Eukaryota; Metazoa; Chordata; Mammalia; Artiodactyla; Suidae. The record is from RNAcentral.